Long non-coding RNA from Girardinichthys multiradiatus, 1340 nucleotides. RefSeq lists it as uncharacterized. The record is from RefSeq and is a predicted model, not a curated record. The transcript has 3 exons. NCBI's taxonomy places the organism in Eukaryota, Metazoa, Chordata, Actinopteri, Cyprinodontiformes, Goodeidae.
AUAAUUAAUUAUAAAUAAUAAAAGGGUAGCUAACAAACAUGAGACGUGUCUUUACUCUAAAUACUUUAAAGUGAAUGCUUAGCAUGGACAAUUCUUUACUUAAAUAAAAUGUGACAUGUCGAUGUAAUUUCAUGUGUCAUUUUGCCUUUUAAAGGAGCUGUCCAAAGAAAACCCUACACCACCAUAAUAAUACUUUUGGGUCUGUUGAGCUUCCUGGUGUUAGUGGAUAUCGGCGUUCAACUCAAAAUCUGUAGGAAAAAAGGGUUUUGAUCUCAUCUCAUGAACCACCGUAACCUGGAAGAACAAUUAUUUUAACCCCUAGUUUCUUUUCCCAUUUCUUUGAUUGUUUCAUUAGGUCAUUCAGGUAUUGAGAAACCAAACAAAACCCAUUUUGAGAAUCACACACAGGCACAAACAGGUGAGAAAAAUCGAUCAGUUUUAAAAUAUUUUCAUGAUCUGAGGUAAAUUGAAAAAUAACAAAAAUUGACGAUAAGUUUCUUGCUGCACUAAUUUUGGGCCUACUGUGCCUCCUGUUGUUGGUGGGGAUUGGUGUGCUACUCAUACUCUGUAAGCAAAACCUCAUCUUUAUUUGAUUAUUAUCUCAGUAGUCAAAAAUAUUUUAUGCAGAUCUGCCAAUUAGUUUGAAAUCUAAACAACCCAAUCUAACAUGUCAGAACCAAACGAAAGAAAAACAGAACCAGAGCGACACAGGUAAGACAUUUAUUUGUUAAAGCUUUUUUUUUUUUUUAUGUGUAAUAUUACUUUCUUUUUAAUGUGGUAUUAUAUGAUCUUCAGUACUUUGCAAGAAAACAAAACUAACAGUAAGUCGCUUUUUAAAGAAUGGCAGGAGUUUCGUCUGUCACAUUUUUACUACGCGUCCGCUGAGAAGAAAAACUGGACAGAGAGCAGGAAAAACUGUCAGAGGAGAGGAGGAGAUCUGGUGAUAAUAAACAGCUUUGAAAAACAGAAGUUUAUUCAAAGAAUGAAGAUACAUGGAGAUUCCUGGAUUGGUCUUCAAACAUCAGACAAAUGGAACGUGAAAUGGAAGUGGGUAGAUGGAUCAGAACCAAGAUAUAGUGCCUGGAAACAAGGAGUAAAUAUAAAUCCAGAGGCUGAGUCCAGAGGAUAUAUUGAUCAACCGGGACUAUGGAUGCGCAACAAAAAUGGAUUAAAACACUGGAUCUGUGAGAAGAAACAUUAUUAAGCAUCUUGGUGACCUUCCUGCCUAACGUGUAAUCUCUAUCUGCUAUGUUAAAUCUUUACAAAAAUAUCUCUCUCCAUUGGUCUUAUUUAUAAAACACUGAGUAGGUUCUAUACUAAAAGAAUAGAACCUAAAAGCC